This 925-nucleotide ribosomal RNA is filed under the name Alcaligenes faecalis. RNAcentral's name for it is "bacterial SSU rRNA". It matches the Rfam family "Bacterial small subunit ribosomal RNA", at positions 119 to 1039 of the family's 1533-position model. Lineage: Bacteria; Pseudomonadati; Pseudomonadota; Betaproteobacteria; Burkholderiales; Alcaligenaceae. The record is from RNAcentral.
CGGAACGUGCCCAGUAGCGGGGGAUAACUACUAGAAAGAGUGGCUAAUACCGCAUACGCCCUACGGGGGAAAGGGGGGGAUCGCAAGACCUCUCACUAUUGGAGCGGCCGAUAUCGGAUUAGCUAGUUGGUGGGGUAAAGGCUCACCAAGGCAACGAUCCGUAGCUGGUUUGAGAGGACGACCAGCCACACUGGGACUGAGACACGGCCCAGACUCCUACGGGAGGCAGCAGUGGGGAAUUUUGGACAAUGGGGGAAACCCUGAUCCAGCCAUCCCGCGUGUAUGAUGAAGGCCUUCGGGUUGUAAAGUACUUUUGGCAGAGAAAAAAAGGUAUCCCCUAAUACGGGAUACUGCUGACGGUAUCUGCAGAAUAAGCACCGGCUAACUACGUGCCAGCAGCCGCGGUAAUACGUAGGGUGCAAGCGUUAAUCGGAAUUACUGGGCGUAAAGCGUGUGUAGGCGGUUCGGAAAGAAAGAUGUGAAAUCCCAGGGCUCAACCUUGGAACUGCAUUUUUAACUGCCGAGCUAGAGUAUGUCAGAGGGGGGUAGAAUUCCACGUGUAGCAGUGAAAUGCGUAGAUAUGUGGAGGAAUACCGAUGACGAAGGCAGCCCCCUGGGAUAAUACUGACGCUCACACACGAUAGCGUGCGGAGCAUACAGGAUUAGAUACCCUGGUAGUCCACGCCCUAUACGAUGUCAACUAGCUGUUGUGGCCGUUAGGCCUUAUUAGCGCAGCUCACGCGUGAAGUUGACCGCCUGGGGAGUACGGUCGCAAGAUUAAAACUCAAAGGAAUUGACGGGGACGCCCACGAGCUGUGGAUGAUGUGUAUUAAUUCCAUGCAACGCGCAUAACAUUACCUACCCUUGACAUGUCUGGAGAGCCCAAGAAAUUUGGCCGUGCUCGCAGAAAAACAGAAACACAGGU